GAUUACACUUGACUAUGAAGCAAGUCAUCCCAGAAGUCCCAGGCAGACUGGCAGCUGCCGCCAAGCCCCCGGCUCUUAGUGAUGAACCUUCAGACGUCUGGAACAUGAAAUGAACUUCCUUGGCGAGCUUCUCUGCACCCCGAGGACGGCCUCCUGCAGACACGCCCAGGCCAGCCCCUCCUGCCCUUGCCUGGGUGGGGUCAUCACUCUAACAGACUUUCCCCGGAGAGCUGUGUUGCCUUUGGCCCUCCUGUGCUGUUUUCCCUCCCACAGCCUGAAGGGUUUGGAGAAUUCCACCCUCUGCUGUUGCUUGAAGAUCUACUUCUCUGCCCAGGCAAUUCUCAAUCCCUUUCCAGUAUUUCUCAUCAUGGAUUCACAAGUUUUCAUUUUAAAGGUAAGCCUUCCUUCCCCGCCACUCACAACAUUUAGAAACAAAAGAUACACAAAUAAUGGGGAAGCCCCACAGUCCCCAGCAAACCCGAAAUAUCUUGGAUGCAGGCCUUUCAUGGCCAGCCUUUGUCCCAGCCCUGAGGGACACUGGUGUGGAAUUCUGCAGGGACGGCAUAAUGACCCAGACGCUAUGCUGAGCCCCUGCAUCUGCCAUCGUUUUGCAGAGUUUUCAUCAGGAAAGCCUGAGGGGAAGCCAUCCCUCCUGUCAUUUUUGUUUUAA
RNAcentral lists this long non-coding RNA (670 nucleotides) under Microcebus murinus (gray mouse lemur). RNAcentral's name for it is "lncRNA (ENSMICG00000048466.1)". The record is from RNAcentral. Lineage: Eukaryota; Metazoa; Chordata; Mammalia; Primates; Cheirogaleidae.